GUUUUAAUAGUUUAAUAAAAAAAACAUUGGUCUUGUAAACCAAAAAAAAGGUACCUUUUAAAACU
Molecule: transfer RNA, 65 nt
Filed under: Bostrichoidea sp. 2 KM-2017
Lineage: Eukaryota; Metazoa; Arthropoda; Insecta; Coleoptera
Description: tRNA-Thr
Rfam family: tRNA
About the family: Transfer RNA (tRNA) molecules are approximately 80 nucleotides in length. Their secondary structure includes four short double-helical elements and three loops (D, anti-codon, and T loops). Further hydrogen bonds mediate the characteristic L-shaped molecular structure. tRNAs have two regions of fundamental functional importance: the anti-codon, which is responsible for specific mRNA codon recognition, and the 3' end, to which the tRNAs corresponding amino acid is attached (by aminoacyl-tRNA synthetases). tRNAs cope with the degeneracy of the genetic code in two manners: having more than one tRNA (with a specific anti-codon) for a particular amino acid; and 'wobble' base-pairing, i.e. permitting non-standard base-pairing at the 3rd anti-codon position.
Source: RNAcentral